GUCAAAUAUAUUAAGGCUUAUGGUGGAUACCUAGGCAUUCAGAGACGAUGAAGGGCGUGGAUACCGACGAAACGCUUCGGGGAGUUGGAAACAAGCUUUGAUCCGGAGAUUCCCGAAUAGGGCAACCUAUAAGACUACUUAUUGAAUUCAUAGAUAAGUAAGAGGUAACCUGCUGAAUUGAAACAUCUUAGUAAGCAGAGGAAAAGAAAGCAAACGCGAUUUCCUUAGUAGCGGCGAGCGAAAUGGAAACAGCCUAAAUCCAUUUUAAUGGAGGUUGUGGGAAGAAACAUUAAACUAGUUCAAGUUUUAAAACGAAGCAGCUGAAUCCUGCACCAAAGAUGGUGAAAGUCCAGUAGUUAAAUAAAGUCAGAAUUAGGUUUCUUAUCCCGAGUAGCAUGGGACACGUGAAAUCCCGUGUGAAUCAGCGAGGACCACCUCGUAAGGCUAAAUACUCCUGAAUGACCGAUAGCGAACUAGUACCGUGAGGGAAAGGUGAAACAGAACCCCUGGAGGGGAGUGAAAUAGAACAUGAAACCGUAAGCUGACAAUCAGUGGGAGCGAAAGUGACCGCGUGCCUGUUGAAGAAUGAGCCGGCGACUUAUAAGGAGUGGCAGGUUAAAGUUUUUAACUGGAGCCAAAGCGAAAGCAAGUCUGAAUAGGGCAUGAGUCACUUCUUAUGGACCCGAACCCGAGUGAUCUAACCAUGGCCAGGAUGAACCUUGGGUAACACCAAGUGGAAGACCGAACCGACUGAUGUUGAAAAAUCAGCGGAUGAGCUGUGGUUAGGGGUGAAAUUCCAGUCGAACUCGGAGCUAGCUGGAUCUCCUCGAAAUGUGUUGAGGCGCAGCGGUUGAUGAUGGGCUAUUUAGGGGUAAAGCACUGUCUCGGUGCGGGCUGCGAAAGCGGUACCAAAUCGUUGCAAACUAAUAAUACUAAAUAUGCUUUCCAUCAACCAGUAAGACAGUGGGGGAUAAGCUUCAUUGUCAAAAGGGAAACAGCCCAGAUCACCAGCUAAGGCCCCAAAGUGGCCGCUAAGUGAUAAAGGAGGUGAGAAUGCCGAGACAACCAGAAGGUUUGCUUAGAAGCAGCCAUCCUUGAAAGAGUGCGUAAUAGCUCACUGGUAGAGCGUUCUUGCGCCGAAAAUGAACGGGACUAAGCGGCCCGCCGAAGCUGUGGGAUUGAAAAUCAAACAUUUUGAAUCGGUAGAGGAGCGUUCCGCUAUAGGGUGAAGUAGUAACGUGAGUUAUUAUGGACGAAGCGGAAGUGAGAAUGUCGGCUUGAGUAACGAAAACAUUGGUGAGAAUCCAAUGCCCCGAAAACCUAAGGGUUCCUCCACAAGGCUCGUCCAUGGGGGGUUAGUCAGGACCUAAGGCGAGGCCGAAAGGCGUAGUCGAUGGAAAACAGGUCAACAUUCCUGUACUGAUUUAAGUUUUGUAACGAGGGACGAAAGAGGCGGCGACUAGCUAGAUAUUGGUAUUCUAGUUGAAAUUUUAACCUGUUGAGAGAUUGAAGAAAAACCUUUCUUGAGGGGAGAAAUGAUCUUGCAGCUGUUUUUAUUUUUUAAAUGAAAAUGAUUGCUUAGUCUUAGUCAUAUUUCCAAGAAAAGCUCGGAUUACUUUAUAAUUUAAAUUACCUGUACCCUAAACCGACACAGGUAGGUAGGUAGAGAAUACUAAGGGGCGCGAGAUAACUCUCUCUAAGGAACUCGGCAAAAUGGCCCCGUAACUUCGGGAGAAGGGGUGCGAGGUAAAACUCGUCGCAGUGACCAGGCCCAGGCGACUGUUUAUCAAAAACACAGGUCUCCGCAAAGUCGUAAGACAACGUAUGGGGGCUGACGCCUGCCCAGUGCCGGAAGGUAAAAGAAGUUGGUUAUUCCUUGGAAGAAGCUGACGACUGAAGCCCCGGUGAACGGCGGCUGUAACUCUGACAGUCCUAAGGUAGCGAAAUUCCUUGCCAAGUAAGUUUUGGCCCGCACGAAAGGCGUAACGAUCUGGGCACUGUCUCGGAGAGAGACUCGGUGAAAUAGAAAUGUCUGUGAAGAUGCGGACUACCUGUACCAGGACAGAAAGACCCUAUGAAGCUUGACUGUAGCUUGGAAUUGGAUUCGGGCUCUUUUUGCGCAGUCUAGGUGGGAGGCGUUGAUCAUAGGUUUUCGGACCUAUAGGAGCCAUCAGUGAGAGACCACUCUGAAAGAGCUAGAAUUCUAAUAGCACUCCUUGAAUCAGGAUGCUUGACAGUUUCAGGCGGACAGUUUGUCUGGGGCGGAUGCCUCCUAAAAGGUAACGGAGGCGUGCAAAGGUUCCCUCAGGCUGGACGGAAAUCAGCUGUAGAGUGUAAAGGUAGAAGGGAGCUUGACUGCAAGACCAACAAGUCGAGCAGGGGCGAAAGCCGGCCUUAGUGAUCCGACGGUACCGAGUGGAAGGGCCGUCGCUCAACGGAUAAAAGUUACUCUAGGGAUAACAGGCUGAUCUCCCCCAAGAGUUCACAUCGACGGGGAGGUUUGGCACCUCGAUGUCGGCUCAUCGCAACCUGGGGCUGUAGUCGGUCCCAAGGGUUGGGCUGUUCGCCCAUGAAAGCGGUACGUGAGCUGGGUUCAGAACGUCGUGAGACAGUUCGGUCCAUAUCCGGUAUAGGCGUAAGAGCAUUGAGAGGAGCUCAACAUUGUACGAGAGGACCCGAAGGGACGUACCGAUGGUGUACCAGUUCUUGUGCCAACAGGAAACGCUGGGUAGCUAUGUACGGAGUGGAUAAUCGCUGAAAGCAUCUAAGUGAGAAGCCCACCUCAAGAUGAAUGCUCUCUAUCAGAUCGCGGCAAGACAAGCCGAUGAUAGGCGUCAAGUGAAAGACAGUAAUGAUUGAAGCUGAGACGUACUAAUUGAUCGACAGAUUUUGAC
Molecule: ribosomal RNA, 2894 nt
Filed under: Sykidion marinum
Lineage: Eukaryota; Viridiplantae; Chlorophyta; Ulvophyceae; Sykidiales; Sykidiacaeae
Description: LSU rRNA
Rfam family: Bacterial large subunit ribosomal RNA
Source: RNAcentral